ACAUUCACCCACCCGUUGACCUUUUCUCUCUCCUCUCCCUUUCGAUUUUCUGCAACGUCCGUACAAACGUACGGACGAACCUCAAACCAACCCAUUUAUGCACAGAUCGAGCUUGUGAUUAGUACCAUCUCCUUCCUCUCGUCAUCGCGAACUCAACCAUACCAAUUGUUGGACGUGAAACCGUUGAAAACCCGAGAACCCAGGCACCCCGAAGAAGGCACUGCUUAUACUCUUGUGAUCGUGGGGGUUUCAGUUGAUUCUGAGCUUAUGGGAAGCUUUAGAUCACCCUCAUGAUGCUCGGAGUACCAUUUUCACGAAGUUUGGACGUCGGGAUUGUGUAGAACCAAAGAACCCAAUAUUUGGUACUGUUCAUGUGCUCGUGGAAUUAAAGGUUUCAAGGUAUUUGGAGCUCAUAGGGAGCUUAAGGACCUCUCCACGAAGCUCGGAGAGGAAGAAUGAGGUGAUUUAGACGUCUGGAGACCGAGAUCGAAGCAUCACGGUUUGGCCGGAAUUAUCGAAGGAUCUCUGGCAAAUUCUCGAAGGUUUUAGGUCCAAAUCUUGGUAAAGUUUUGUUUCUUAUGUUGUAAGCUUCAUUUUGGUGAAGAUUUCAUGAAAAAUGGUUAAGAAUUGACUGAAAUACGAAGCCUGGAAAAUUUCCAGAAACCGGCGAGUUGCAGCGGCACCGGCGACGGUCUCCGGCGAACCAAGGAAGAAGGAGGAGUAUACUCCGUCAAGUCUGACGGAAUAUGCUAACGGCGUCAGUUAUAUUAAACGGUAUAUUCUGAUUUUUAACGGAAUAUUCCCUAACUGCCGUUACUGUUACCGUUAGGGUUCCUCGCGCGUGGCGGCGCGUCUUGCCGUGCACUCGCCGGCGCGUGGCGGCGCGUGGGUGGUCGGAAAAUUUUUCUAAAAUUAUGGGGUUGUUCGUGAGGUUGAGUAAUCACUGUGGUAUAUUCAUAUACCCAAAUUGAGCAACGUAUGAGAAGUUAUUUCCAAGGUUUUGAUUAUGUGCUUAAAUAACGUUAUUUCGGUUACUUCUCAUAUAGGCGAGGCUUAUGCGGACGAUGAGCAAAGUUAAGGGAGGCUCGGGGGCUACGACCCUUCGACAUAUCUGUGUGUGGGCAGUUUUGUUUUCGUAUUACCUAUAUACUACUGUUUUCCCAUAAAAUACGUUUAUAUGAAAAUAUGAUUUAAAUUGCCAUGCAUGCAAUUGUUGAGAUAUUUAAAUUGAUAAUUGAUGCAUAUAUAUGUGAAUUGACGCGGUGGACGCACAGGUGAGUCUUUACAUUAUUCAGACGAUUUAUUUUAUGUGAAUUGCAUUGGAAGCUCAUAACCUGCACCCUAGGUGUUAGUGCUUAUAUUAUUCACCACACCGCACGCUCGCCUUGGAUCCAAGUAGGUGGAUGUCGUACAGACCACUAGAGGUGGUUCCGACAUGCCAGUCGUACAGACCAUUAGAGUGGUUCCGACUGGUGGGUGACCUUAGAUUACGUGCACAAAUGAUUGAUGAGAGAAGCACUAGAGCGUAUUAUUACACCAUUAUAGUCGUACAGACUACUUUAGGUAGUUCCGACUUAUGUGCAGUGUAGCGCCGUAUAGGUCACAGUUGGUGACUCCGGCAGGGCAGUACAGGUCACAGUUGGUGACUCCGGCUGGAUGAGAUUUUGAGCUAUAGUUUCAGCCGUACAGGACCAUUGUAGGAUCUCCGGUUGAUUUAUUUUUCACCUGAUUUAUAUUGAUGCAUUCAUAUUAUAGUUUGGCAUGGCAUGGCAUAUUUUUUUCCGAAAAGUGUUAAAGAAAUGAGUUUUGAGAUUUAUGAAAGUAUAUUUGUACAUAUGCUAUUUUUCUGGGAAAGUACAAGUUUUACGGAGAGGGGUUACAACGUUUUGAGAAAUGUUUUGUCUUGAAAAGAUUGGUUUUACUGACCCACUCAACUUUGUUUUUCGCUCCUCCAGGUUCGAGACAGAGCAGAGCUUUGGUGGCCACGAGGAAUCCAACGGUGUUCUGACAGAAUUUCAAAAACGUAGGUUUCACUUUCGGGUAUUAUACAUUAGUAUUUAUGUCUUUAAAGCUUCCGAACCGUGUAAAUGGUUACGUCACUCUCACGUGAUGGCCAACAUACCCUCCUUCGGGACGAGGUGUGUCAGUCAGAGCCCUAGGUUGCAAUCCUGGACAUCUUGAGAAUUCCCUAGUGUCUUCUGUCAGAACUAUACCACCUCGUAGGGAGCCACGCCAUUUAGAUGAGCUUAGUUUCCCUAAUUUAGCAGUUUAGGGGAAACUAUUGCUAUUGUGAUUCAGUCUAUUAUCUAAGAAACCCUUUGAGACUGGUUAUAAGUUGAAUUUGAAUCACUUUAUGGAAUUAUGAACCUGAGGGAGCAGAGUGUUGGCUUACUCACUUGGAAAAGACGUUUUGGAUUAUGCAAGUUAAAGGAAUCUUCCUUCUGACAGGUGGGUCGAGACGACUACCUGGUUGUGGGUUAUGAAUUUGUAUCCUGGUGGAAACAGGAGUAUUAUUCGUUGUCACCGGAGGAAACAACCGAUUGAGAAUUGUUUAAGGAAUUGUUAAAGAAAAGAUUUAUUCCUCCGACAUAUUAUGAUGGUAGUAAGCAAGAGUUUGCAAAUGUGAAACAAGGAAGAUGACAACAAAUGAGUAUUAUAGAAAGUUUUCAGACUUGCCUCGUUUCCAUUCGGAUAUUGUUGCUAAUUUGGUUGAGUUGUUAUGUUGUUUUAGGCUGGGUAAUAAGAAGAAGUGGCAUUUUUGGGGACCACUAUCCAUUGUACUGAUUAUCAAGAGUUUACGAGAUGUUGUUGAAAAUUGAGGAUUCUGAGAAUAUGAUCAGCUAGAGUAAAGAGGAAUAAGAAAAAAAAUGGGAAUUAGAAGAAAGACGAUAAAGAUGAUGAUCCGUCAUAUCAAGGACCUCGAAAGAUUCAGAGUUCCAUAAGUGAAGCUAGAGCGAAUUCUCCCAGCUGAGGUUUUAAUGCCACUGGUCAGAGGUGAAGUGAUAGAUUUAUUGGUGAUCCCAGAUCUCAGAGACAAGGUGAUUUGAAUAAGGGAAAUGUACCUUUGUACAGCAGGAACAAUAUUAGACACUUGGAGAGUGGGAAUCAAUGAAUGUGUCAUGUGGACAGGUGGAACAUAGAGUUAUGUGUUGCCCCUAGAAUCAGUUGUUAACCAGCAGUUUUCCCUGACACCACAGUAUCGAUCCAGCAGGUUUACGGACUUAGUAGUUUUGGUCAGAUUGACCGUGGGUACAUGGAUAGAUGAGUUAUAUGUUCAGCUGUACAGGCCAUAAGAGGUGGAUCCGGCUGACAUAUUAUUUGGAUAGUUGUUGAGUAAGUUGUACAGGUCACUAUAGGUGACUCCGACUUAAUCGCUAGCAUGGAUGGUUGAGCUUGAGAAUCAGCCGUACAGGUCAUUCUAGCUGACUCCGGCUGAUAUGUAUCUUAUUAUGGAUGAUGUUGCCAAGGAAAGUAGCGAAUGAGCACGAUCGAGGCGUGAAUAUGUAUUUUUCCCUGUGAGGAGUAAGAUGGUAAUGUUGCACCCUUUGGAAUUGUUGCUUACUUACCGAGACAACGAUAAUUUAUUAAUAUUGUGGGCUGCAGACCGUAAUAUUAAUAACUUAUUCGUUGGAUCCGUUAAGCAAGUAAACAGGUAGGUUACCCUACAUGAGUUUGGUGUUAUUAAGAGUGUUCAGUGAUGGUCGAAAAUAUAGUUAUGCCAGUGAAUCUUAUUUCGUUGGAGAUUUGGAUGUGAUUUUAGGCACAUAUUAGUAGCAUUAAAUCGUGCCAUCAUAGAUUGCUACGAGAAACUAGUUACUUUCCAUUGAUCUGAUUGACUGGAGUUUACUUUUGUAGGUAUGCAAAGUGGAGCGAGGCAUGUCGUUAGUUGCUGGGAGAGCAAAUAGAUUGUUAUCGAAAGGCUGCCAAGGAUAUUUAGCUCAUGCAGUACUAAGAGAUGUUGCUCUGAGUAGUGUGAAGGAUGUCAAGGUGGUUGGACAUUUUCUUGAUGUUUUCCCUGAGGAAUUUCCUGGAUUACCAUCAGGCGGAGAUGUGGAGUUCAUUAUUAAUUUGUCUCCAGGUACGGACCUUAUAUUAUAGAUUGAUGUCUUCUGAGUUAAGGGAAUUGAACAAGUUCAGUUACAAGAAUUGAUUGAUAAAGGUUCCAUUCAACAUAGUUUGUUGCUUUGGAGGACCCCAGUUUUGUUUGUAAGGAGGAAGAAAAUGAACGUUAAGACUAUACAUUAAUUAUAGGAAACUGAAUCGGGCAAAUUUUGAGAACGAUUAUCUAUUGCCACGCAUGGAUGAUUUGUCAAUCGAUUUGGAGGUGCCUGCGUAUUUCCUAAGAUGGAUUUGAGGUCUGGUUAUUACCAAUUGGAGAUUGAGUGACGAUGUUCCUAAGAUUGUUUUCAGGACUCGUUAUGGUCAUUAUGAGUUUUAGUGAUGCUAUUCGGACUGACGAAUGCGCCUGCUGCUUUCACGAGAUUGUUAAGACUUGAUCAGAACAUAUCGGACAUCUUAAAUUGGUAUUACAAAGAUUGAAGGAACGUCGAUGUAUGCUAAGUUUAGCAAAUGCUAAUGUUGGGUGAGUCAUGUAGCAUUUCUGAGUUAUGUUAUAUCUGCUUAAGGUACUCAAUUGAAAUCUUAAAAUGUAGCAGAAUUGGAGAAAUUGGAACAACCGUGAACCGUGGCUGAAGUUUGAAAUUUUCUUGGCUUAGUAGGGUGUUAUAGAUGGUUUGUUGAGGGUUUUUCAGUUAUUACCUUGCCAUUGACGAGUUUGAUAAGGAAAGAGGUUAUGUGUGAGUGGGAAGGAAAUUGUGAGUAAAGUUUCCAAUAGUUGCAGUAUUUCCUCACUCAUGCGUAUGUUUUAGCACUUCAAGACGUUAACGGUAAUUAUGAGGUCUUUAAUGAUGCUUCUUUGAAUGGUAUUGGAUGUGUUAAGGCAAAAGUGUUAGGGUAAUUGCCUAUGCUCCGCGACAAAUUGAAACCUCAUGAGAUAAUUUACUCUACUCAUAAGUUAGAAUUUGCACUAUCAUCCUUACUUUGAAGUUAUGGAGACAUUACCGCUAUGGUGAGAAAUACAAGAUUGUUAUGGAUUAUAAGAGUCUUUAGUAUCUGUUUACACAGAGGGAUUUUAAUCUUAGACAACGAAGGUGGAUUGAGUUGCUUAGUGUUUAUGAUUGCAUGACCAGGGUGAUCGUGAAAUUUUUAUAGCUGAUGCACUUGAUAAGAAGACUGCAGUGAGGAUUAAUGCCUGGUAUGUUUGCCAUGUUCAUCUUCUUGUGGAUUUGAGACCUACUGGAAUAAAGUUGAGAAUGGAAGAUCGGGAAUAAGCCGUACUUGCUAAUUUUCAAGUUAGGCUUUUUUGGUAAAUCGUACUCGAGACUCAAGCGUUUGACGAAGAAAUUCAAUUUAAAGCAAGGAAUAACGGGAAAAAGAAAGAUUUCAGAAUUCGAGAAUCGGAUGACAUGUUUAUGCAAGAAAACAAGACGUAUGUGCCUAAUGACGUGGAAUCAAAGAAAGCAAUUUUGGACAAAGAGCACUAUUCAGCUUAUGCAACGCAUCCUGAAAGUAUUAAAAUGUAUCAUACCAUUCGACAAUUUUUCUAUUGGCCGGGCAUGAAAAGAAAAAUUACGGAGUAUGUAAGUUUGUGUAUUAUUGGUCAGCAGAUUGAAGCAAAAAGAAAGAAACCUUUGGAUUGAGACAGCUAUUUUCUGUUUCGCAGUGGAAGUGGAAACAAUAUUACUUUAGAUUAUGUGUACAAGCUUCCUCGUACACGAGAUGGUCAUGAUUAAAUUUGAGGCUAUAGAUGGUCGGUUUACCAAGUCAGCGCAUGUUACGCCAGUGAAGAGUAGCAACCUUUCCAGACAGUGCAACAAUUACUUAUUUGUUUAUGGAAAUAGAUUUGGACUUACGGAGCUGCGGAGCUUUUAAGUGUGUUGGUUACGUCAGUUUUCCGAAAGUAGCACCAUUAGGCCCAUGAAAACAGUGUCAUGUGUAUCGAUUUUUGUUAACUUGUGGACGGAAUGUUUCUGGGGAGAAAAAGAUUCGACCGCGAAAGGUACAAUAGUAGAGGAGACUACUCAGAACGCUCAAGUACUUAAGCCUAACCGACUGACAUGCUAUUGUUCGAGUAUGCAUGGUUAAUGAUUUGAUAUUUUUGAAACUUUCACCAAGGAAAGAGAUAGUAAGGUUUGGAAGAAAGACAAGCUAAGUGCUAGUUACAUCAGACCGUUUUUUAUCACUGAAGGAAUCGAUGAAGUUGCAUACAGGUUUGAGUUGUCUUCAGAAUUGGCUAAGGUGCCUAAUGUAUUUUUGUUUUGAUGUUUCGUCACUAUGUAGCAUAUCCGUCGUAUGGGAUUCCAGUUCAACCUUUGGAGAUUAAUCGAAUUUGACUUAUGUUGAGGAACCAGUGACGAUCUUGGGUUGGAAAAAAGAAAGUUCUGAGAACUAAGAUAGCGUACUUAGUAAACGUUUUGUGAAGAAACCAUUCAGUGGAAGAAACUGCAUGGGAGACAGAGAAUUGGAUGAGAGAGAUGUAUAUCAGUUUGUCUUAUGUUUAUUGGUGGAUUAUGAUCGUAUGAAAUUUCGAGGACGAAAUUUUAUAAGGUGGGUAGAUUGUAACAGCCCGUCCUAAAAUAUUGGAAUAUUUUAUUUUCUAAUGGCGUGAAAAGACGAUUUUGCCCUUGGGUUAAUGAAUUUUGUUGUGGCGUUGUAUGGCUUAAGUUGUGAAUGUGGACAAAUAGGUUAAGUCCCUAAUAUUUUGGAACCAAUUAGGGACUUAGACUUGAAUUAUUUUUGUUGUUGUUUUGCCUUGGUUGGCUGGAUCACGCACGGACCACACAUUCACCCACCCGUUGACCUUUUCUCUCUCAUCUCCCUUUCGAUUUUCUGCAACGUCCGUACAAACGUACGGACGAACCUCAAACCAACCCAUUUAUGCACAGAUCAAGCUUGUGAUUAGUACCAUCUCCUUCCUCUCGUCAUCGCGAACUCAACCAUACCAAUUGUUGGACGUGAAACCGUUGAAAACCCGAGAACCCAGGCACCCCGAAGAAGGCACUGUUUAUACUCUUGUGAUCGUGGGGGUUUCAGUUGAUUCUGAGCUUAUGGGAAGCUUUAGAUCACCCUCAUGAUGCUCGGAGUACCAUUUUCACGAAGUUUGGACGUCGGGAUUGUGUAGAACCAGAGAACCCAAUAUUUGGUACUGUUCAUGUGCUCGUGGAAUUAAAGGUUUCAAGGUAUUUGGAGCUCAUAGAAAGCUUAAGGACCUCUCCACGAAGCUCGGAGAGGAAGAAUGAGGUGAUUUAGACGUCUGGAGACCGAGAUCGAAGCAUCACAGUUUGGCCGAAAUUAUCGAAGGAUCUCUGGCAAAUUCUCGAAGGUUUUAGGUCCAAAUCUUGGUAAAGUUUUGUUUCUUAUGUUGUAAGCUUCAUUUUGGUGAAGAUUUCAUGAAAAAUGGUUAAAAAUUGACUGAAAUACGAAGCCUGGAAAAUUUCCAGAAACCGGCGAGUUGCAGCGG
Molecule: long non-coding RNA, 7519 nt
Filed under: Malus domestica (apple)
Lineage: Eukaryota; Viridiplantae; Streptophyta; Magnoliopsida; Rosales; Rosaceae
Description: long non-coding RNA (MDOM_LNC011192)
Source: RNAcentral